RNAcentral lists this unclassified non-coding RNA (158 nucleotides) under uncultured Helotiales. RNAcentral describes it as "sequence contains ITS1". The record is from RNAcentral. Lineage: Eukaryota; Fungi; Ascomycota; Leotiomycetes; Helotiales.
CAGAGUUCAUGCCCUCACGGGUAGAUCUCCCACCCUUGAAUACUAUACCUUUGUUGCUUUGGCGGGCCGCUUCGGCUACCGGCUCUGGCUGGUAAGUGCCCGCCAAAGGACCCAUAAACUCUGAAUAUUAGUGUUGUCUGAGUACUAUAUAAUAGUUA